GUGUUGGGUAUCUUCGCCUUGCCGGGAUUACUCCACUUGUUUCCCGAACCUCCGGUCCGUCUCACUUCGUGCUCAGGCACUUCUUCUUCUUCUAUUCUUCUCUUCUCAGUUCCUCCUUCCUUCUGUUAGAUCUGCACAAAAAAAGGGCAAGCAAGGAGUAACAAGAUACAAGAAAGUAAAGAAAAGAAAUAAAGAAGUAAAAGUUCAGAGAAGGGGAAAAGGUGUCCUCGGGACACAGGGGGCUCAGAUUUUCCCCCUUAAACUCAGCAACCCUUCCGGCAGCUGAAUGAUCAACGGCGAGGUAAGGACAAUGGAGCAGCGUCACAGAUCUCAACAGAGCAACCAACAACAGGAGCCAAGGUCAGAACUCCGGCAGCUCGGAUCUUCUCAGGUAAUCACCAAACAGGGCUCCGAUGGUCAGGAAAAACCCGGUGAUACCUCCACCCACGUCUGGGAAUCCCGUAUUAUCAAGGAGUUUAACCACAAAGGAUAGCAGAGCCUUUCAGUCCUUGAUAUCCGUAUUCCCGGAUGAGAAAGCAUCAGAGAUUUAAAGGGAGUAGGGAGGAGCUGGACAGCAGUAAUGGAGAUGGAGGAACCGAGGGGAUGGGCGGUGGAGCGGCGGAGUAGAUGGAGAGUCAGGGAGAGAGGGGGAUUAGGGUUUGGGAGAGAGAGAGCGGCGCUGAGUGAAAAAUGAGAGAGAGAGAGAGAAACGGGGAAUUAUAUAUCCGAGGUGUGAGUGGGCUAGGGUUGAGAGAUUGGGCUCGGUUGAGAGAUUGGGCUCGGUUCUGGGCCCUGAAGUUGGCCCAGACCAGAAAGAAAAAGAAAGGGAGAAGGAAUGAGAAAUGGGCCAACCUCACAUAUCCACCUUUGGCACAUUGAUCAUUCUGUCACCAGGGAAGGGCCAUCAAUUGAGUUGGAGUUAUCAUCAUAGCCCAAUUUUUACUCUUAUCUGCCACAAAGUCAAGACAAGAGAGGGUGAGAGAAAUAUUAAGCAUAUUUAACUCAAUCUCAAACCACAGAGACCAACCCAGGGUAAUCACCAAUUUCUCAAACCCAAAGGGUUAUCAUUGAAGUCACACACACACAAACACAAGCAGAGCACACAGAGCAGAAAAAAGAAAAACAAGCAGAACCAGGCAAGUACAUACAAACAGAACAAAGCAACAUAAACAGAAGACAAACACAGGACAAAAGCAGGCAUGCAUAACAGAACACAACAGGCAGAACUGAGAUUACUCACAUCAUCAUGCACACAAGAAAAGCAAAGACAAAGGAGAGACAAGCAGCCACAGAGGCUGAACUUAUCACACCAAGACUCAAAAGGAAUUAACCAGGACCAAUAUUCAGAGUUUCCAUGCAAGAUUCCAGCUUUGCAACUGGAAGACACUUGGUGCCCAUAUCAGCAGGAUUGAAUUCAGAGGGAAUCUUAUCAAGUAAAACAUCUCCUUUUUCAACUACAUCCCUAAUGAAGUGAUAUUUAACAGCAAUAUGCUUAGUUCUAUCAUGGAACACAGGGUUUUUGCAUAGUGAAUGGCAGAUUGACUAUCAGAGAAAACAUGGUUAUCAUCAAUGUAUCUAAUUUCAGACAGCAAACCAUCAAGCCAAAGAGCUUCUUNNNNNNNNNNNNNNNNNNNNNNNNNNNNNNNNNNNNNNNNNNNNNNNNNNNNNNNNNNNNNNNNNNNNNNNNNNNNNNNNNNNNNNNNNNNNNNNNNNGAUCAGGAAAUUCUUUGCUCACAAAACCCUCAGGCUGUUUCAUAUAAAUGUCAUUCUCAAGAUCACCAUGAAGAAAAGCUGUAGUAACAUCCAUUUGCUUUAAUUCCCAAUUAAAAUGAGCACACAAAGCAAGCAUAAUGCGCACAGUGGUGAACUUAACAACAGGUGCAAAAUUUCAUUGUAAUCUAUGCCCUCCUUUUGAGUGAAGCCCUUAGCUACAAGUCUAGCUUUGUACCUAACAUGAUCCACCUCAUUUUUAAUCUUGACUAACUUUUACACUACAACAAUAGGAACAAUACAGACGAGGUUUAGGAACAAGAAUCCAUGUAGAGUUAUCAUGUAAUGAGUUCAUCUCAGACUUCAUAGCAGUCAACCAUUUAUCAGAAUUCUCAGAGUUAACAGCUUCAGCAUAUGAGCAUGGUUCAGAUUGAUCCACAUUGUUAAACACAUUAAAGGCAUACAAAGACAUGCUGUAGUCAUCAAACCUAGCAGGCUGCCUAACAUGUCUCCUUUCUCUAUCCCUAGUGAGUUGAUAAUCAUUCUCAAGAACUUCAUUGUGGAUAGGUUGAUGCAUAAUAGGUUCAGGCUCAACAAGAUCAGGCACAGCAGGUUCAUGCACAAUAGGUUCAUGCUGAACAACAGGGUCAGGAACAGGAGGGGGUUCAGUGUUUUGCUGUGGUUCCACCUCAAAAGGAACCACAGGUGUGAACAUAAAUUCAUAUCUAGUAAGAUCAUGAGCAUUCGAGUUCUCCACCUCACUUGGAGUUGCAGAUUGUGAGGAUUCAAGUAGACAAGGAAAAUUCAAUUCAUUGAAAGACACAUCUCUACUUAUACAUGUUUUAAAUCCAGGAACAGACUUAUCCCACAAUCUAUAACCCUUAACACCCUCAGGGUAUCCAAGAAAAUGCAUUUUCUUGGCUCUAGGUUCUAGUUUCCCAACAUUCUGAUGGACAUAGGCAGCACAUCCAAACACUUUUAAGUGAUUUAAACACACAGGCUUGUCAUAGAAAACAGACUCAGGAAGUUUGCCAUGCAAGGGAACAGAAGGGGAUCUGUUAAUCAAAUAAACAGCAGUCAUAAGAGCUUCACCCCAAAAAUGUUUUGAAAGACCAGAUGCAACAAGUAGACUUCUAACUCUCUCAAGGAGAGUCCUAUUCAUCCUUUCAACAACUCCAUUCUGCUGUGGAGUGUAAGGGACAGACUUGUGCCUAAUGAUGCCUAAAUCAGAACACCAAGUAUCCAUGGAAUGAUUGCAAAAUUCAAGACCAUUGUCAGUUCUGAUGCACUUAAUCCUUUUCUUGGUUUGAUUUUGAAUUUCAUUAGCCCAUUUUGAAAGUUUUUCAAACACAUCAGACUUGUUUUUCAUGAGAAAUCCCAAGUUUCCUUGAAAAAUCAUCUAUAACAGAUAAGAAGCAUGUUCACAUGGGUGGGCACUUAGCAGGGCCCAAACAUCAGCAUGAAUGUAUUCAAGAUUUCAGAACUGACAUGUUUCUGGGGUAGGAGUAGUCACAGGAAAGCAGAUUAUGAUGUUACAAGAUGCAAGGUUCACAGAAAGAUAUGCCAGACACUUUGUCAUUCCCAAAAGACCCAGUCUUUUUUACAAAAUUUCCAUGCCCUUAUUACUCAUAUGACCUAGUCUAGCAUGCCAAAGUGCAGACUUAUCUUCAUGAAUCACAUUAGCAACAUGUAGAGGUACAGACUCAGCACUCACAGCAUACAGAUUUCCUUUCCUUAGUGCAGAAAAAUAAGGCAUAGAAUCCUUUUUAAACUGGAAGCUUAAGUGAUCAACAGAACCAGUUAUCAUGCUAUCAGUAAUUUGAGAAACUGACAACAGACUGAAUUUCAAGUUUGGCACAAAUCUGACUUCAGUUAGAGUGAGAAACUUUCCAUUUUCAAAUUUUAAACAGACAUCACCUUUUCCAUGAUUCACAGUUCUGCCCAUCAGCCAAAGCAACAUGUCCAGAUUUAACAGGUUGGAGAUUAUGAAUCAUAUGCUCAAAUGGGGUAACAUGGAAAGUGCAACCAGAAUCAAUGAGCCAUUCACUGGAACUCAUAGUUUUUGAAAUAGCAUUGGAGUAGCUGAUGAACUGAAAAUCAUAAUCAUGCAUCAUGUACACACCAUCUUCUUCAUACACAUUAUUAGCAUUCUGAUUAGAUUCUUCUGGGACAUAUUCCUUUUUCUUCUUAGGAAGUUUGCAUCUGUUUAUAAAAUGUCCAGGUUUUCCACAAUUCCAGCAAACUUUCCUAGGUUUUUGGUCAGAGUAUUGAUUUUGACCUCUAUUUUCACCAUUCUGAUUAUCAGAUCUCAUGUCCUUGGGUUUUUCAAAAUUCUUACCCCUAUUGAAGUUCUGGGGUUGAUUUUUAUUAACAUACAGAAUCUCACCAUGCAAAGGUUUUGAUUUUAUCAAUUUUAGCUCACUCUCCUUAGACUUAAGCCCAUUAAUGAUCAUAUCACAUGUGACUUUAGCACCACCAUAUUUUAGAGCAGAUUUCACCUCAACAAAUGAUUCAGGUAUGGAGUUUAACAAAAUCUGGGGUGCAUAUUUUUCAAUUGAGUCAUCUCCAGCAAGCUUUAAGUCAUGGAGCAGUUUAUUGAAAAUUUCCAUGUUUGUGUCAACAUCUUUAGAGGAAUCCAUUUGGAAAGACAUAAACUGAUUUUGUAAAGACCAAGUGGAUACUUCAGAUGGUGCAGCAUAAAUGGAGUUUAGUUCAUCCCAUAGUUCUUUAGCACAUGUGAGGUGUGACACUUUCCUUACAACAGAACUGCUUAAAUUCAACAGAAUUGUUGCCCUAGCAUUAUCAUUCAUGUCAUGCAAUUUUUCAUCAGUGACAGUUUUAUCAAUUUUAGUUAAUAAAGCCUUAUUAACCUUCUCCUUAACAAGAAUGCAUUCUAUUUUGGUUUUCCAGUCCUGAAAAUCAUCCCGGCCAUUGAAUGGCACCAAAUGCAUGUUGUUCAUGGUGAUGAAUGCAGAUGCAGCACUUAAGCAAACACAAUCUUAUUCACAGAAUACCACAACAAAGGUCACUAGGACCUCAAGGAAGGAAACUUCUGGAGUUCAGGAGCAGGGAAGAGCCCAGAUCUCAGCACAGAUUUAUCUGUGGAGCAAGGUUUCACACUGGUCCCUCCAAAAGUUCCAACAGGACUUAACAGAGUCCAGAAACUCUCAAUCCAAGAGAGUUUUCAAGGUAUUCAACCUUUAAGAGAACAAGAAAACAGAGAGAAACAGAGAGCACAGCAGAAGUUACAAGUGUUCUACUGUAAGCCUCGUAUCAGUCAAGCUAUCCAGGCUACCACGCACGAGAAGACACUUUAAAGUGAAUUCAGACGGACUGGACCGUAAGCUUAGACCAACGGUGAGCGUUUGAAUGCUCUUGAGGUUACAGGAGAUAACACAAGAACACAGGCAGAAGAAAAAACAACAAGCGGAAGCAAACAAGAGAGCAGGAUCGCAAGAUACCAACAAAGAAAAGAAAAAACAGCACCUUGACCAAGCCUAGAUCUAGGAGCUAGGGUUUCAGCCGAUUUACCUGAGCCGGACUCUUCAGGAGGAAGAGCCGGACUUACUCUUCUCCUUGCUCGUCGGGAGCGAAAUGGCGCAGCCAAAGGGCGGCGGGGUGAGAGGGAUGUGUUCGGAGGGAGCCCCGGCAAGGUCCCCGUGGCUCUGAUACCACUGUUGGGUAUCUUUGCCUUGCCGGGAUUACUCCACUUGUUUCCCGAACCUCCGGUCCGUCUCACUUCGUGCUCAGGCACUUCUUCUCCUUAGGUCUUCAAUCUUCCGUUCCAGAUAUGCAAUAUUCAGCUCCAACUCUUCCUCGUUACCUGUACUUCAGAUCUGCACAAAUAAAGAGGGAGAAAGGAGUAAAAGGAACACAAGAAAGAUAAUAGAGAUAAGAAAUCAGGAGUAAAGUUCAGAGAAAAAAGGGGAAAAGGUGUCCUCGGGACACAGGGGCUCAGAUUUUCCCCCUUUAACUCAGCAACCCUUCCGGCAGCUGAAUGAUCAACGGCGAGGUAAGGACGAUGGAGCAGCUUCACAGAUCUCAACAGAGCCACCAACAGCAGGAGCCAAGGUCAGAACUCCGGCAGCUCAGAUCUUCUCAGGUAACCACCAAACAGGGCUCCGAUGGUCAGGAAAACCCG
This 5851-nucleotide long non-coding RNA is filed under the name Salvia miltiorrhiza (redroot sage). Its description in RNAcentral is "long non-coding RNA (SMIL_LNC006326)". The record is from RNAcentral. Lineage: Eukaryota; Viridiplantae; Streptophyta; Magnoliopsida; Lamiales; Lamiaceae.